Molecule: ribosomal RNA, 253 nt
Filed under: uncultured bacterium
Lineage: Bacteria
Description: partial 16S ribosomal RNA
Rfam family: Bacterial small subunit ribosomal RNA
Source: RNAcentral
UACGGGGGGGGCAAGCGUUGUUCGGAAUUACUGGGCGUAAAGGGCUCGUAGGCGGCCAACUAAGUCAGACGUGAAAUCCCUCGGCUUAACCGAGGAACUGCGUCCGAUACUGAAAGGCUUGAAUCCGGGAGAGGGAUGUGGAAUUCCAGGUGUAGCGGUGAAAUGCGUAGAUAUCUGGAGGAACACCGGUGGCGAAGGCGGCAUCCUGGACCGGCAUUGACGCUGAGGCGCGAAAGCUAGGGGAGCAAACAGG